RNAcentral lists this ribosomal RNA (468 nucleotides) under uncultured bacterium. RNAcentral describes it as "partial 16S ribosomal RNA". It matches the Rfam family "Bacterial small subunit ribosomal RNA", at positions 28 to 507 of the family's 1533-position model. The record is from RNAcentral.
GACGAACGCUGGCGGCGUGCUUAACACAUGCAAGUCGAACGGAAAGGCCCUGCUUUUGUGGGGUGCUCGAGUGGCGAACGGGUGAGUAACACGUGAGUAACCUGCCCUUGACUUUGGGAUAACUUCAGGAAACUGGGGCUAAUACCGGAUAGGAGCUCCUGCUGCAUGGUGGGGGUUGGAAAGUUUCGGCGGUUGGGGAUGGACUCGCGGCUUAUCAGCUUGUUGGUGGGGUAGUGGCUUACCAAGGCUUUGACGGGUAGCCGGCCUGAGAGGGUGACCGGCCACAAUGGGACUGAGAUACGGCACAGACUCCUACGGGAGGCAGCAGUGGGGAAUAUUGCACAAUGGGCGGAAGCCUGAUGCAGCAACGCCGCGUGCGGGAUGACGGCCUUCGGGUUGUAAACCGCUUUCGCCUGUGACGAAGCGUGAGUGACGGUAAUGGGUAAAGAAGCACCGGCUAACUACGUG